This is a non-coding RNA of Aegilops tauschii subsp. strangulata, 3679 nucleotides long. The record is from RefSeq and is a predicted model, not a curated record. Lineage: Eukaryota; Viridiplantae; Streptophyta; Magnoliopsida; Poales; Poaceae.
UUGUAUUACUGCAAUCAAAAUUUAGAAAAAGAAUGAUCUUAUAUACAUUACUCAAUAGAAUCUAACAGAAAAGAACUUGUAUCAGCAUCAAGCAACAGGCCCAAUUGCAAGCAGCAAUGAGCAGCAUCUCAGUAAUUGGGGACAAUAUUUUGUACCUUCAGAGCAGGAGCAUGAAGAAGACGAUGAAGCAAACAAUGAGGUUGAUGCAAGUCAUAGUGAUGCUGAAUCUGAUGUUGAGCGUGAAGAUGGUGAUAAAGGAAACAAUGAAGAUGAAGCAAAUCGCAUUGAUAGUGAAUCUGAUGGUGAGCAUGAAUUUGACUGCAACAGUGAUGAGAAUGCAAGUUAUCCAGAUGAAGCUUACACAGAAUGCAAUAGUGAUCAAAAUGAAACAGAUGUGGAGGAAGAUUACCUGGAACAAAAUACUUUAUCCUGUGAUGAGUUGUUGGUGGAACGCCAGCAUUCAGAGCUGCAAAAUUUGGAGCAAAGUUGGAACUAUCAGGAUUCAGUCUAUCAGCAGCAAAUGAUGAGAGCCGAUCAAGAAGUAAAAGCAAGGAGCUCUGAAGAAGCAUUGCAAGGCCCUGAUUAUGCAGAAACAACUGAUACAGAUGGCACUAGUGGCAGCGAUGAUUCAGAGUUUGAAGCAGAGCAGCUACAAGAGGUCCAACAACAAACAAAAAACUAUGAAAAGGAUAACAGUGCUACAUUUUUAGAAUCAAAUGAAGAGGAUCAGAAUGAAACUUUUAGUCCAUCAGGCAAGGAAAAAAUGCAGGACCUAGUAAGGAGCAGAUGAAAGAUGAAAACAAGUUAUCUCAAGAAGAUAUAGAAUUCUUCCUUGAGAAUGACAGUAUUAAAAGGGCAAUUAAAUUAAGCCAAGAAGAUGAGAAGAAACACAUGCCAGCCCUUGGCAUGACAUUUGAAAGUGAUGCUCAUGCACACAGAUUCUACAAUGAAUAUUCAGCUAUUGCUGGGUUCUCAAUUCAGAAAGCUGCAAACUAUCACUGCUAGAAGAAAGAUGCACACAACAACAAAAUGACGAGGUUCACUAUGAAGUGUAACAGAUCUGGUAAACCUAGGAUAAGGACAAAACCAACAGCUGCAGGAGCAAAAAGGAGAAAGUAUAAGAGUGAUAAAAAUGCACCAACUGAGCUAGAGAAUACGACAGACAGAAGAAGAAACUACACAACUAAAACAGGUUGUCAAGCUCAGAUGGUUGUUACCUGGAAAUUCGAUACAACACAGUGGGUGGUGACAAGGAUUAUCAUUGAACACAAUCAUGACCUGCAUCCACCAGGGGAAGUCAGGUUCCUCAGGUCACACAAAUAUAUCACUGAUCAAGAGAAGGACUUGAUCAGAACUUGCAAACAAGUGAACGUACCAACUAGAAAGAUUAUGGCAAUAAUGGCGUUCUUUCGAGGAAGAGGUCUUUCUUCGCUGCCAUAUACAGCAAAACAGAUUAGCAACAUGGGCACGAAAAUGAGAAGAGAUAACGGAUUGAAUGACAUGAUGCAAGUGGUCUCAUUUUUUGAACAGAAAAAAUGAGAAGAUCCUCUGUUCUUCUACUCAUUCAAAACAGAUCCAGCUAAGAAUGUCAUGCAUAUAUUUUGGGCAGACGGCACUGGUAUAAGGAACUAUCAACAAUAUGGUGAUCUCCUAAGUUUUGACACAACUUACAAAACAAACAAGUAUAACCUGAAGUUUGCUCCAUUUGUGGGUGUAAAUGGACACGGAGACAACUGCCUCUUUGCAUGUGGUUUCAUACAAGAUGAGAAGAAAGAAAUUUUUGAGUGGUUGUACAAAACUUUUCUGAAGUGCAUGGGAGGAAAAGCUCCAAAAUCUGUGAUAACAGAUCAAGAUGCAGCUAUGAAAAAGGCAGUUCCUAAGUGUUUUUCUAGUUGCAUGCACAGGAACUGUUUGUUUCACAUUCUAACAAAAGCGCAGAACAAAGCUAGGAGAACAUUUGCAAGGAACGAGCAUUUGAAUGCUCAGUUUCAUGACAUAAUCCUAAACUCACAAACAGUUGAGGAGUUCGAGCACCUCGGGCCCCAGAUGAUACAACAACACAAUGUUCAACAUAUCAAGCACUUCGGGAUUAUGUGGAAAAAUAGAAAGAGAUUUGUACCUGCAUAUUUCAAGAAUGACUUUUUCCCAUUCAUCCAGUCAACGGCAAGAACUGAAGGUACAAAUGUUGUAUUCAAGGCAAAUGUAGGGUCAAGUCAUAGUGUGAUUGCUUUCAUGACAGAGUUUGACAGAAUAUCGCAGAGCAUUGAAGAAAAAAAAAGAAAAUGAUUCAAUAACAAGGAGAACCUCUCCAACAAUGUGGAGUGACUGGGCAUUGGAAAAGCAAGCAGCAAAACUAUACAACAGGGGCAUAUUCUACAAAUUUCAGCAAGAGUUGAUGAAUUCAACAAAGUUUCAUAUGAUGGAAAUGGAAAAAAAGUAUGAGGUGUACAAGUCACCGACUCAAGCACUGUUUGACUAUAACCCAAGAACAUUCAUAGUGGUUGUUGACACACAUUCUGAAACUAUCUCAUGUGUAUGUGGGAAAUUUGAGAAGGAUGGUAUUCUGUGUUGUCAUGCACUCAAAGUCAUACAAGCAUUGAACAUUGAUGAGUUACCAGAAAAGUACUUCAUUGAUAGAUGGAGACCUAAGGAAAAAAGAGCAUUUCAAGCUAAUGAAGAAGAUGCAAACCUUGAAGAUUUGGAUGAGCAAAUGGCAUUCUUCUCAUUUUCAAGAAGACUAGUUCAGCUUGCUUCUGAGGCAUCGAAGAAUCCUGCAAGGAGGAAAGUGUUAAACAAGCAGAUAGGGAAUCUGGAGAGGUUAAUUUUAGACAUACCUUGCAUGCCAGAAUUGGAACAAUCAAAAUGUUCUGCUUCAGAUUUAAGUGCUGUCACAGGGGGCUCUUGACUUCAGACAGCAAGGGUGAGAACACUAUAAAUGAUCCAAUAUACAGCAAACCGAAAGGGAGAAUGAAGAAAACAGGGAGGCAGAAAAGUAUACUAGAAGAAAUCAUAUCAAGGCCUAAAGUGACUUGUUCGGGGUGCAACAAACAAGGACACAACAUUACAGGGUGCAAGCAAAUACAACAAGAAUCGCCAGCAAAACCUAAAAAAUCAGCCAGCAGAAAGAAUGCAAAGCAACAUAGAGAGAAGACAGCAAAACAAAAAUAGAUGAAAAAGGCAAGGUCUACUACAUAUUCAUGCAAUGAGGAAAGAAAGAAGAAAAGCGAUGCUCAUAGCGUGAAGAAACAUGAUUGCAAAGCAAAAAGUGAAAGAAUUGUGAAAAGAAGGUCAACAACAGAAGCAAUUGUUAUUGUGUGAAAAAUUUGCAUCCAUUUUGUAUGAAAUGAUGGAUAUGUAAUUUAAGUACUUUCAACUGAUUUCUACUAUUUUUACUUGUUUACUGAAUUAUUGCUUACUGAAUUCUGGAAUGCAAAAGGAAUAAUUAUAAUGGUAUGAGAUGACAUAUGAAAUCAGAAUGAAGAAAACAAAAAAGGUGAUAUCAAUUCAGGAGUGCAAAAAGAAAAGAGCAAAAAAACCUACAACAUAGAUUUAUGAAUUCAGAAAUGCAGAAAACAAAAAGUUGAUAUCGAUAAACAACAAUAACGUAGACUAGUAUUUAAUAAUAUUGACAAUAGAGUACUGACAUCACAAAGGAAACUUUGAAAAACGAUGAUAGCAC